CGGGGCGUAGCGCAGCCUGGCUAGCGCGUUUGGUUCGGGACCAAAAGGUCGGAGGUUCAAAUCCUCUCGCCCCGA
RNAcentral lists this transfer RNA (75 nucleotides) under Planctomycetota bacterium. RNAcentral describes it as "tRNA-Pro". It matches the Rfam family "tRNA". Rfam says of the family: Transfer RNA (tRNA) molecules are approximately 80 nucleotides in length. Their secondary structure includes four short double-helical elements and three loops (D, anti-codon, and T loops). The record is from RNAcentral. Lineage: Bacteria; Pseudomonadati; Planctomycetota.